This is a long non-coding RNA of Athene cunicularia (burrowing owl), 285 nucleotides long. RefSeq lists it as uncharacterized. Lineage: Eukaryota; Metazoa; Chordata; Aves; Strigiformes; Strigidae. The transcript is spliced from 3 exons. The record is from RefSeq and is a predicted model, not a curated record.
CUGAGCGUUGGUGACAGACUGAGAGAGAAGGAAUAAACCACAGCAUUGUGUUUUAAAGCAACCCAGUGGAACAAAAGGAUCUACCAAUACUGGCGAAGUCUCUUCUGUGAACUGCACAACAGAAGCUGCUGUCCCAGCUCACUGUUGCUCCUUCCCACUGGCAAACAGCCUAAGGAGGAGCUGUUCAUAGGUUGUGCCUGCGUAAUGUUGGAGGUGAAGUCCACACUCAUCCUCUUUGCCUUUCCUGCUGGGGACAAGUACAGCGUGGUCGUUCAGGACUGAACA